AACGAACGCUGGCGGCAUGCCUAACACAUGCAAGUCGGACGAGACCUUCGGGUCUAGUGGCGCACGGGUGCGUAACGCGUGGGAAUCUGCCCCUCGGUUCGGAAUAACAGUUAGAAAUGACUGCUAAUACCGGAUAAUGACUUCGGUCCAAAGAUUUAUCGCCGAGGGAUGAGCCCGCGUAAGAUUAGGUAGUUGGUGGGGUAAAGGCCUACCAAGCCGACGAUCUUUAGCUGGUCUGAGAGGAUGAUCAGCCACACUGGGACUGAGACACGGCCCAGACUCCUACGGGAGGCAGCAGUGGGGAAUAUUGGACAAUGGGCGAAAGCCUGAUCCAGCAAUGCCGCGUGAGUGAUGAAGGCCUUAGGGUUGUAAAGCCCUUUUACCAGGGAUGAUAAUGACAGUACCUGGAGAAUAAGCUCCGGCUAACUCCGUGCCAGCCGCCGCCGUAA
This 449-nucleotide ribosomal RNA is filed under the name uncultured bacterium. Its description in RNAcentral is "partial 16S ribosomal RNA". It matches the Rfam family "Bacterial small subunit ribosomal RNA", at positions 29 to 523 of the family's 1533-position model. The record is from RNAcentral.